UUUUUUUUUUUUUUGCCAUCCUAAGUUAUGAUACCUGCAAGAAACCUUGACUCUCAUUUAUUUUGUACAGGAAUUCAAUAGCCAUGUUAGAAGGGUUCCAGGUCAGUCCAAUUUGGCAUCAAGGAUUUAUUCGUGAUGAUGGAAGGCAUGCCAUUUAUUCAUUACAGCAGGAUCUAAAUUUUGUAGUAUUUAUUUAGGAGUAAGUAGAUAAGGUGGCUAUGGUUGCAUUUUAAGUGGCAUGAUAUUUGUUUGGAUUAUUUGCUGAAAAUGAUCACUGAAAUCUUCAAUGAACUAAAAUUGAUUGGUUCUUACUUAUGCUGCUAGAAAGUCUCUGCUUUCUUGGUUAGGUGCUUUUGCUACAGCUACAGUUACAAGCUUACUUCUCAUGCUUGUAGUUCAUCAAAAUCUGAAACUGUCCUUAUUUACAGCAAAUCCUGCAUUAUGAAGUCUAUUUGACACACAAUGGAAUUUUGUUCCUUGAUUUUCAAGAAGUCUUAACUUUCAUCCUAUUCAGGUGGUUGCUAAGCUAGAUGAAUCGUUUAUCACUCACUUCUGUCACAUCUCUGUUUUUUUGCAGCAGUAGUAAGUAGCAGGAUUCUUGCUGGCUCACAGGUUUUCUGCUUUUACAUAGUGCAUGGCAAGAUUGUUGUUUCUUGUGCAGCUGAUAUACUCAUAUGACUUUGUGUCAUAUUACUCUGGCUCUCUUUGAUAGUACUGCUGGUAGCUUCAAGAGUUUAUGAUAGGUUGAUCUUGAAUUGCUCCCAUUUGUUGACUUAGGCAGCCAUUUUAGAUUGGUACAUUUUAAGGCAGGUCCACGUGGAUUAAUGUGUUGCCCAUUUGAAUGACAUUGUAUGCUUUUCAACAGCCUCUGUAGCAUCUUUUGUUCGAGCUGGCAACUGACAGGACUUCUAGCUUAUAGCUUAUUGCUAGCAUUCCAUUUGGAUUGCUGGACAGCCAAAUUAUUCAAAAAUUUCCUUGUCCAAUUCUUAGAAUAAUUUUGGUCUAUUUUCUACUCUCUUCUUAGAACUCUGUUUGCACUUCAGCUGAAUAGAUGUGUAUGCAUUUUGUUUGGAAACUCUUGCCAGCAAGUUGAUUCUGGAAGUCUUGAAGUCCUGAAAAAUCCAAAAUUGGCUUUAUAAUCCUGAAAAACUCAUGUAGAAGUUGUUUACCUGUAAUCUGACAUAAGCUAUUUUGUAAAAACUUAUGAAUUAGAUCAUAUCAGUACUUAUCGUAUCAGUCCUUUAAGAUUCCAUUAGCAUGAAUGAUUUUGCAUUGUGCAGCUUGCUUCUUUCUGCAUACUGAGCAAAAAUUCAUUGUGUGAAGAGAUAGGGCCUUCUAAUUCUAAAUGGUUGUGAUGCUUGUGCAUAGGUCUGCACCAUGAGAGUAGAGAAGCACCUGAAUGAAAUAGUGAAUAGGUUGAACAAGACAAAAGUCGAAAGGAAGCCUGACUUGAAAGAUUUGAAUAUGUUUUUUGAAUAAACAUAGGAAGAUUUGCAGAAUCUCUGCUCCCUGCACCUUGGAAUACAUUUCCCAGCCCCCUUUUGACAGUUUUGUCAGCAAUGCUCCUCACUAAAGCGUCGUUUUUACUAACUGUACUGUUUUGCAGAUUGCAUUAGUAUACAAACUAUAUUUGAUCAUGGUGUCUCUUAUCUAGAAUGUUGAUGUUAAAUCACUCCGAGACAUGGUUUCUUACUUCUUCGGAAACUGGUACAUGAUAGCACAACAGCAUUACUAGUUUGUGUAUGAAGCAUUACUUUCCAUCUGCUGAAUUUUACUUUAUUGGCCCCUUGAGUACAAUUCUCUCCAGUCUAGGAACUACAACAAUCAGUUGUUGAAAAGUAAUCUUGUUGAUGGGGUUUGUCAAACUAAAUUACAAAAAUAAUAUUUGCAAAAAUACAUGGUUUUAGUUUGUGUUUGUGUUGUGUUUGCUUAUUUGUUGUAUCCAUUUGAUAUGUUUUCUUAGUGGGUAUAAUUUGGAUCUCAUGAUUGGAAAGUUGUUCAAUCCGUUAGUGAGUACAAGAUUGGCAAUGUGGUUUUCUAUCAUUGUGCUUUGUUUACUGCUUGUUCAAUCCCAUGAUUCCAGGUUCCCAUCUUACCCUUAUGUUAGUCAUACUCAACAUUUCACGAACUUGACAUGCAAUGGUCUAUGGCCAUGGUUCAAAUUAUUAAUUGGUUAAAUGUGACAUGGGCAAAGUACUUCAAUGAGGUUUUUUUAGAA
Magnolia sinica is the source of this 2218-nucleotide long non-coding RNA. RefSeq lists it as uncharacterized. The transcript has 3 exons. NCBI's taxonomy places the organism in Eukaryota, Viridiplantae, Streptophyta, Magnoliopsida, Magnoliales, Magnoliaceae. The record is from RefSeq and is a predicted model, not a curated record.